Molecule: ribosomal RNA, 506 nt
Filed under: uncultured bacterium
Lineage: Bacteria
Description: partial 16S ribosomal RNA
Rfam family: Bacterial small subunit ribosomal RNA
Source: RNAcentral
AUUGAACGCUGGCGGCAGGCCUAACACAUGCAAGUCGAACGGCAGCGGGGGGAAGCUUGCUUCCCCGCCGGCGAGUGGCGGACGGGUGAGUAAUGCCUGGGAAGCUGCCCAAUCGAGGGGGAUACCAGUUGGAAACGACUGCUAAUACCGCAUAUGCCCUGAGGGGGAAAGGUGGGGAUCUUCGGACCUAUCGCGAUUGGAUGCACCCAGGUGGGAUUAGCUAGUUGGUGAGGUAACGGCUCACCAAGGCGACGAUCUCUAGCUGGUCUGAGGGGAUGACCAGCCACACUGGAACUGAGGCACGGUCCAGACUCCUACGGGAGGCAGCAGUGGGGAAUAUUGCACAAUGGGGGAAACCCUGAUGCAGCCAUGCCGCGUGUGUGAAGAAGGCCUUCGGGUUGUAAAGCACUUUCAGCGAGGAGGAAAGGGUGGAAGCUAAUACCUUUCAUCUGUGACGUUACUCGCAGAAGAAGCACCGGCUAACUCCGUGCCAGCCGCCGCGGUAA